Molecule: long non-coding RNA, 1093 nt
Organism: Ailuropoda melanoleuca (giant panda)
Lineage: Eukaryota; Metazoa; Chordata; Mammalia; Carnivora; Ursidae
Exons: 5
Source: RefSeq, a predicted model, not a curated record
AAUUGUCUGUAGCAGGGAAGGGAGGAACAAGUAUGGAGCCAUGAGACGGCAGUGCGCUUGGUUUCUGUUCCACAUGAGUCAUCAUUUGUCUUCACUAAACUGGGAACUCCCUGAGUGUAAGGAUAGUGCUUUCUAAAGCUCUCACAGGACUCGCAAAAUAGAACAGGGCUGUCCCACAGUUGAAAGGCUGCGCAGCCCAGGGAUCUCAUUAGAAGAAAAUGAAGUCAGAGAAGGCAACUCUUGCUUAAAGAUGCACGGUGGGAAGUGCUAGGCUGGAAUCCAGGGCUCUGGGUUCCACAAUGAUGGACUGGGCAUUUUUUAAAGAUCUAACUGGCAUUAUGAGCAACCUGCACAUGCUGAGGGGUUGACGAACGGACCCGAAUUUGGGGCACUGUGGCAGGUCUCUGCAGACGCAGUGCCUGAGAGGAAGUGAGGGAGAGGAUGGCUGGUUGUCAAAUAUGUACCUCGUGCCCUUAAGCCAGGCUGCAUGGCUUACAAGGCAUUUCACCUCUGAGCUGUCACCGGGAAAGAGCUCCAACUUUCAGGGAGAAGAUACUGAUGAGGCAACAGAAGCUCAGAUGGAAGGACAGUCAAGCUGGAGGAGACCUAUCAGGGCAGUGGCAGCGUCAGACCUGUCUCUUCCCUGUCCCCAGCAGCAUGUGGCCCUGAGUACUCUCCUGGUUCUUUCUCUGGGUUCAUCCUCUGACUUUUCUAGGAAGCCCGCCCUGGUUGCUCCAGCCCAUGUGGUCUUACUCCAUGAGUUUCCCGAAUUCAGAGUGCUUACUGGCUACUCUCUGUGUGUAGAAGCCUUGUGACAUCUCUGGAAAUGUUUCAUGUGGUGAUUCAUUAUUUCCUAGCUCCAUAAACAGAGGCAAAUGACUUAACUUUGGCCCUGUCUACAGUAGCUGCUCAAAUGUUUGGAGUCUGACAGUCUUAAGCCAGAGCGAUCCAUCCUAGAGAGAUCAGGGAUUCUGAGCAGACCUGUUCCAGGAGACCACUCCACUUUGCUGAUGGAUUUGAGGCAUAAGCAAAGGAAAAACUGGGUGUCAUCCCAAUCUGGACCAGUCUGAUCUCUCACCAUGAAGUCUCAGGG